This is a long non-coding RNA of Lycium barbarum (goji berry), 813 nucleotides long. RefSeq lists it as uncharacterized. The record is from RefSeq and is a predicted model, not a curated record. The transcript is spliced from 3 exons. NCBI's taxonomy places the organism in Eukaryota, Viridiplantae, Streptophyta, Magnoliopsida, Solanales, Solanaceae.
GCUAUACAUUAUCCUUUCUAGUUUUAGGUUCUUUAUCACCUUUAACUUGAAGGAAAACGUUCCAGCCUAUUCAUUCAAAUUAUAGAAUAGUUCUUUCAUUUUUGAAAAUUGAUUCAUGACCUUGGAGUUCUCUUGGAGCAAAAGAAAAGUUGGGAAAGAAAGAAGCCUCUCGGCCAAGGUGGUUCUAGCCGAGCAAUGGAGGAUUGAGGGGGAGAAAUCAUGCCUCAAAGUGUUGAAAUUAUUCAAGUGAUUAGCAAGGUUAAGAAGCUGAGUUUAUGGAGGUUGAGAUAUUAUUGGGCAGCGUAUACGUGUUGUGUGGCGAAUAAACGCUAAAGAUACAGGUGCUCACGUUGGUAACCCGCCAGCUUAGGAGUCCUAUUCAGCUAUCUUGGAGAGCUCCCUUGUCCCGAAGCCUAGAUUUUGGUACAGAAUCUCUGUGGUGUAUAUGUAUUUUAUCCAGGGGUACGGCGGGGCCUUGUCCCGUCAUACGAUACUGUUGUUACUCUUAGAGGUCUGUAGACAUAUGUGUGGGUUGUGUAUCGAUAUUGUUCAGUUGUGUCUAUAUGGCUUAUGUUUUGGGACGUUCCCAUUCGUAGUGGCAACCUUGUCGGCUUGCGUAGAUAUAUAUAUAUAUAUAUAUAUAUAUAUAUAUAUAUAUAUAUGUUUUGAGAAGUAAUGUGUUACGAUAGCCUUGUCGGCUCGUUUAUGGCGGGGAUGUUCCCUUAUAUAUUAUGAAAGCCUUGUCGGCUUAUGUACUAUGAUGUCUGUUGAAAGUUGUACCUCCCCAGGAGACAGGUUGUUGUGAUACGUCUA